RNAcentral lists this ribosomal RNA (497 nucleotides) under uncultured bacterium. RNAcentral's name for it is "partial 16S ribosomal RNA". It matches the Rfam family "Bacterial small subunit ribosomal RNA", at positions 28 to 507 of the family's 1533-position model. The record is from RNAcentral.
GAUGAACGCUGGCGGCGUGCCUAAUACAUGCAAGUCGAGCGAACAGACGAGGAGCUUGCUUCUCUGAUGUUAGCGGCGGACGGGUGAGUAACACGUGGAUAACCUACCUAUAAGACUGGGAUAACUUCGGGAAACCGGAGCUAAUACCGGAUAAUAUUUUGAACCGCAUGGUUCAAUAGUGAAAGACGGUUUUGCUGUCACUUAUAGAUGGAUCCGCGCUGCAUUAGCUAGUUGGUAAGGUAACGGCUUACCAAGGCAACGAUGCAUAGCCGACCUGAGAGGGUGAUCGGCCACACUGGAACUGAGACACGGUCCAGACUCCUACGGGAGGCAGCAGUAGGGAAUCUUCCGCAAUGGGCGAAAGCCUGACGGAGCAACGCCGCGUGAGUGAUGAAGGUCUUCGGAUCGUAAAACUCUGUUAUUAGGGAAGAACAAAUGUGUAAGUAACUAUGCACGUCUUGACGGUACCUAAUCAGAAAGCCACGGCUAACUACGUG